CCUACGGGAGGCAGCAGUGAGGAAUAUUGGUCAAUGGGCGGGAGCCUGAACCAGCCAAGUCGCGUGAAGGAAGAAGGCACUUAGUAUUGUAAACUUCUUUUGUCGGGGAACAAAGGCGGAGACGCGUCCCGGGCUGAGUGUAUCCGAAGAAAAAGCAUCGGCUAACUCCGUGCCAGCAGCCGCGGUAAUACGGAGGAUGCGAGCGUUAUCCGGAUUUAUUGGGUUUAAAGGGUGCGCAGGCGGGACAUCAAGUCAGCGGUAAAAUUUCGGGGCUCAACCCCGGCCGGCCGUUGAAACUGGUUGUCUAGAGUUGGAGAGAAGUAUGCGGAAUGCGUGGUGUAGCGGUGAAAUGCUUAGAUAUCACGAAGAACUCCGAUUGCGAAGGCAGUUCACUGGACUGCAACUGACACUGAGGCUCGAAAGUGUGGGUAUCAAACAGGAUUAGAUACCCCAGUAGUC
Molecule: ribosomal RNA, 459 nt
Filed under: uncultured bacterium
Lineage: Bacteria
Description: partial 16S ribosomal RNA
Rfam family: Bacterial small subunit ribosomal RNA
Source: RNAcentral